RNAcentral lists this ribosomal RNA (510 nucleotides) under uncultured bacterium. Its description in RNAcentral is "partial 16S ribosomal RNA". It matches the Rfam family "Bacterial small subunit ribosomal RNA", at positions 28 to 507 of the family's 1533-position model. The record is from RNAcentral.
GACGAACGCUGGCGGCGUGCUUAACACAUGCAAGUCGAACGAAGAGCGAUGGAAGCUUGCUUCUCUCAAUCUUAGUGGCGAACGGGUGAGUAACGCGUAAUCAACCUGCCCUUCAGAGGGGGACAACAGUUGGAAACGACUGCUAAUACCGCAUACGAUCUGACCUCGGCAUCGAGGAUAGAUGAAAGGUGGCCUCUACAUGUAAGCUAUCACUGAAGGAGGGGAUUGCGUCUGAUUAGCUAGUUGGAGGGGUAACGGCCCACCAAGGCGAUGAUCAGUAGCCGGUCUGAGAGGAUGAACGGCCACAUUGGGACUGAGACACGGCCCAGACUCCUACGGGAGGCAGCAGUGGGGAAUCUUCCGCAAUGGACGAAAGUCUGACGGAGCAACGCCGCGGGAGUGAUGACGGCCGUCGGGUUGUAAAGCUCUGUUAAUCGGGACGAAAGGCCUUUUUGCGAAUAGUGAGAAGGAUUGACGGUACCGGAAUAGAAAGCCACGGCUAACUACGUG